RNAcentral lists this ribosomal RNA (492 nucleotides) under uncultured bacterium. Its description in RNAcentral is "partial 16S ribosomal RNA". It matches the Rfam family "Bacterial small subunit ribosomal RNA", at positions 29 to 507 of the family's 1533-position model. The record is from RNAcentral.
AGUGAACGCUGGCGGUAGGCCUAACACAUGCAAGUCGAACGACAGCACAGUAAGAGCUUGCUCUUACGGGUGGCGAGUGGCGGACGGGUGAGGAAUACAUCGGAAUCUACUUUUUCGUGGGGGAUAACGUAGGGAAACUUACGCUAAUACCGCGUACGACCUACGGGUGAAAGCAGGGGAUCUUCGGACCUUGCGCGAUUGAAUGAGCCGAUGUCGGAUUAGCUAGUUGGCGGGGUAAAGGCCCACCAAGGCGACGAUCCGUAGCUGGUCUGAGAGGAUGAUCAGCCACACUGGAACUGAGACACGGUCCAGACUCCUACGGGAGGCAGCAGUGGGGAAUAUUGGACAAUGGGCGCAAGCCUGAUCCAGCCAUACCGCGUGGGUGAAGAAGGCCUUCGGGUUGUAAAGCCCUUUUGUUGGGAAAGAAAAGCAGCAGGUUAAUACCCCGCUGUUCUGACGGUACCCAAAGAAUAAGCACCGGCUAACUUCGUG